This 497-nucleotide ribosomal RNA is filed under the name uncultured bacterium. RNAcentral's name for it is "partial 16S ribosomal RNA". It matches the Rfam family "Bacterial small subunit ribosomal RNA", at positions 28 to 507 of the family's 1533-position model. The record is from RNAcentral.
GAUGAACGCUGGCGGCGUGCCUAAUACAUGCAAGUCGAGCGAACGGACGAGAAGCUUGCUUCUCUGAUGUUAGCGGCGGACGGGUGAGUAACACGUGGAUAACCUACCUAUAAGACUGGGAUAACUUCGGGAAACCGGAGCUAAUACCGGAUAAUAUUUUGAACCGCAUGGUUCAAAAGUGAAAGACGGUCUUGCUGUCCCUUAUAGAUGGUUCCGCGCUGCAUUAGCUAGUUGGUAAGGUAACGGCUUACCAAGGCAACGAUGCAUAGCCGACCUGAGAGGGUGAUCGGCCACACUGGAACUGAGACACGGUCCAGACUCCUACGGGAGGCAGCAGUAGGGAAUCUUCCGCAAUGGGCGAAAGCCUGACGGAGCAACGCCGCGUGAGUGAUGAAGGUCUUCGGAUCGUAAAACUCUGUUAUUAGGGAAGAACAUAUGUGUAAGUAACUGUGCACAUCUUGACGGUACCUAAUCAGAAAGCCACGGCUAACUACGUG